GAUGAACGCUGGCGGCGUGCCUAAUACAUGCCAGUCGAGCGAACAGACGAGGAGCUUGCUCCUCUGAUGUUAGCGGCGGACGGGUGAGUAACACGUGGAUAACCUACCUAUAAGACUGGGAUAACUUCGGGAAACCGGAGCUAAUACCGGAUAACAUGUUGAACCGCAUGGUUCAACAGUGAAAGACGGUCUUGCUGUCACUUAUAGAUGGAUCCGCGCCGCAUUAGCUAGUUGGUAAGGUAACGGCUUACCAAGGCAACGAUGCGUAGCCGACCUGAGAGGGUGAUCGGCCACACUGGAACUGAGACACGGUCCAGACUCCUACGGGAGGCAGCAGUAGGGAAUCUUCCGCAAUGGGCGAAAGCCUGAAGGAGCAACGCCGCGUGAGUGAAGAAGGUCUUCGGAUCGUAAAACUCUGUUAUUAGGGAAGAACAAAUGUGUAAGUAACUAUGCACGUCUUGACGGUACCUAAUCAGAAAGCCACGGCUAACUACGUG
This 497-nucleotide ribosomal RNA is filed under the name uncultured bacterium. RNAcentral describes it as "partial 16S ribosomal RNA". It matches the Rfam family "Bacterial small subunit ribosomal RNA", at positions 28 to 507 of the family's 1533-position model. The record is from RNAcentral.